Molecule: ribosomal RNA, 446 nt
Filed under: uncultured bacterium
Lineage: Bacteria
Description: partial 16S ribosomal RNA
Rfam family: Bacterial small subunit ribosomal RNA
Source: RNAcentral
CCUACGGGGGGCUGCAGUCGAGAAUCAUUCACAAUGGGGGAAACCCUGAUGGCGCGACGCCGCGUGGGGGAAUGAAGCUCUUCGGAUUGUAAACCCCUGUCAUGUGGGAGCAAAUUAAAAAGAUAGUACCACAAGAGGAAGAGACGGCUAACUCUGUGCCAGCAGCCGCGGUAAUACAGAGGGCUCAAGCGUGGGUCGGAAUCACUGGGCGUAAAGUGUGCGUAGGCUGUUUCGUAAGUCGUGUGUGAAAGGCGCGGGCUCAACCCGCGGACGGCACAUGAUACUGCGAGACUAGAGUAAUGGAGAGGGAAGCGGAAUUCUCGGUGUAGCAGUGAAAUGCAUAGAUAUCGAGAGGAACACUCGUGGCGAAGGCAGGUUCCUGGACAUUAACUGACGCUGAGGCACGAAAGCCAGGGGAGCGAAAAGGAUUAGAUACCCGGGUAGUC